GUGUUGUAUGAAACAAGAGAAGGUUAGCACUCCCCUUAACAAGGAUGGAAGAGGCCCUCGGGCCUGACAACACGCAUACGGAAAAAGAAGGUUUUGACAUUUGACUCACAGCACAUUGUCAGGAUUACAU
This is a small nuclear RNA of Ochotona princeps (American pika), 130 nucleotides long. The record is from Ensembl. NCBI's taxonomy places the organism in Eukaryota, Metazoa, Chordata, Mammalia, Lagomorpha, Ochotonidae.